UACGGAGGGCGCAAGCGUUGUUCGGAAUUACUGGGCGUAAAGCGCGCGUAGGCGGCCUUGCAAGUAGGAUGUGAAAUCCCGGGGCUCAACCCGGGAACUGCCUUCAUGACUGCAAAGCUUGAGGAUGUGAGAGGGUGGCGGAAUUCCGAGUGUAGAGGUGAAAUUCGUAGAUAUCCGGAAGAACACCAGUGGCGAAGGCGGCCAACUGGCACAUUUCUGACGCUGAGGUGCGAAAGCGUGGGGAGCAAACAGG
This 253-nucleotide ribosomal RNA is filed under the name uncultured bacterium. Its description in RNAcentral is "partial 16S ribosomal RNA". It matches the Rfam family "Bacterial small subunit ribosomal RNA", at positions 524 to 776 of the family's 1533-position model. The record is from RNAcentral.